CAGCAGCCGCGGGAAUGCGUAGGUGGCAAGCGUUGUCCGGAAUUAUUGGGCGUAAAGCGCGCGCAGGCGGAUAGGUCAGUCUGUCUUAAAAGUUCGGGGCUUAACCCCGUGAUGGGAUGGAAACUGCCAAUCUAGAGUAUCGGAGAGGAAAGUGGAAUUCCUAGUGUAGCGGUGAAAUGCGUAGAUAUUAGGAAGAACACCAGUGGCGAAGGCGACUUUCUGGACGAAAGCUGACGCUGAGGCGCGAAAGCCAGGGGAGCGAACGGGAUUAGAUACCCGGGUAGUCCCUGUCUCUUAUACA
Molecule: ribosomal RNA, 301 nt
Filed under: uncultured bacterium
Lineage: Bacteria
Description: partial 16S ribosomal RNA
Rfam family: Bacterial small subunit ribosomal RNA
Source: RNAcentral